Molecule: long non-coding RNA, 251 nt
Filed under: Physcomitrium patens
Lineage: Eukaryota; Viridiplantae; Streptophyta; Bryopsida; Funariales; Funariaceae
Description: long non-coding RNA (PPAT_LNC013896)
Source: RNAcentral
GAAAUCCUAAAGAAUAUUAAAAUAAUCAUAAGUAUAUCUUAAAUAAAUUUCAUCCAAGUCCUAAUUUAACUCUAAUUGAAAUCCUAAUAGACUUCAAUCAAAUCCUAAAUCCUAAAUCCUAAGCAAAUCUUAAAUCCUAAAUCCUAAGCAAAUCUUAAAUCCUAAAUCCUAAGCAAAUCCUAAAUCAAAUUCAAAAUCCUAGUCCGUUCCUAAAUCCUAACCAAAUCUUAAUUAAACUCUAAAUCCUAACC